This is a non-coding RNA of Triticum aestivum (bread wheat), 113 nucleotides long. Lineage: Eukaryota; Viridiplantae; Streptophyta; Magnoliopsida; Poales; Poaceae. The record is from Rfam.
CUUGUACUCCCUCCGUCCGAAAACUUGUCAUUGAAAUGGAUGUAUCUAGAUGUAUUUUAGUUCUGGACACAUCCAUUUUGAUGACAAGUAAUUCUAGACGGAGGGAGUACUUG